CCUGGCUCAGAUUGAACGCUGGCGGCAGGCCUAACACAUGCAAGUCGAACGGUAACAGGAAGCAGCUUGCUGCUUCGCUGACGAGUGGCGGACGGGUGAGUAAUGUCUGGGAAACUGCCUGAUGGAGGGGGAUAACUACUGGAAACGGUAGCUAAUACCGCAUAACGUCGCAAGACCAAAGAGGGGGACCUUCGGGCCUCUUGCCAUCGGAUGUGCCCAGAUGGGAUUAGCUAGUUGGUGGGGUAACGGCUCACCUAGGCGACGAUCCCUAGCUGGUCUGAGAGGAUGACCAGCCACACUGGAACUGAGACACGGUCCAGACUCCUACGGGAGGCAGCAGUGCCGAAUAUUGCACAAUGGGCGCAAGCCUGAUGCAGCCAUGCCGCGUGUAUGAAGAAGGCCUUCGGGUUGUAAAGUACUUUCAGCGGGGAGGAAGGCGAUAAGGUUAAUAACCUUGUCGAUUGACGUUACCCGCAGAAGAAGCACCGGCUAACUCCGUGCCAGCAGCCGCGGUAAUACGGAGGGUGCAAGCGUUAAUCGGAAUUACUGGGCGUAGAGCGCACGCAGGCGGUCUGUCAAGUCGGAUGUGAAAUCCCCGGGCUCAACCUGGGAACUGCAUUCGAAACUGGCAGGCUAGAGUCUUGUAGAGGGGGGUAGAAUUCCAGGUGUAGCGGUGAAAUGCGUAGAGAUCUGGAGGAAUACUGACGGGCUGCGAGGCGGCCCUGGACAAGACUGACGCUCAGGUGCGAAAGCGUGGGGAGCAAACAGGAUUAGAAACCCUGGUAGUCCACGCCGUAAACGAUGUGGACUUGGAGGUUGUGCCCUUGAGGCGUGGCUUCCGGAGCUAACGCGUUAAGUCGACCGCCUGGGGAGUACGGCCGCAAGGUUAAAACUCAAAUGAAUUGACGGGGGCCCGCACAAGCGGUGGAGCAUGUGGUUUAAUUCGAUGCAACGCGAAGAACCUUACCUACUCUUGACAUCCAGAGAACUUACCAGAGAUGCUUUGGUGCCUUCGUGAACUCUGAGACAGGUGCUGCAUGGCUGUCGUCAGCUCGUGUUGUGAAAUGUUGGGUUAAGUCCCGCAACGAGCGCAACCCUUAUCCUUUGUUGCCAGCGGUUAGGCCGGGAACUCAAAGGAGACUGCCAGUGAUAAACUGGAGGAAGGUGGGGAGGACGUCAAGUCAUCAUGGCCCUUACGAGUAGGGCUACACACGUGCUACAAUGGCGCAUACAAAGAGAAGCGACCUCGCGAGAGCAAGCGGACCUCAUAAAGUGCGUCGUAGUCCGGAUUGGAGUCUGCAACUCGACUCCAUGAAGUCGGAAUCGCUAGUAAUCGUGGAUCAGAAUGCCACGGUGAAUACGUUCCCGGGCCUUGUACACACCGCCCGUCACACCAUGGGAGUGGGUUGCAAAAGAAGUAGGUAGCUUAACCUUCGGGAGGGCGCUUACCACUUUGUGAUUCAUGACUGGGGUGAAGUCGUAACAAGGUAACCGUAGGGGAACCUGCGGUUGGACACAACCUCCAAGUCGAAGGAUAAGGCGUGGACUACCAGGGUAUCUAAUCC
RNAcentral lists this ribosomal RNA (1565 nucleotides) under Enterobacter sp. Its description in RNAcentral is "bacterial SSU rRNA". It matches the Rfam family "Bacterial small subunit ribosomal RNA". The record is from RNAcentral. Lineage: Bacteria; Pseudomonadati; Pseudomonadota; Gammaproteobacteria; Enterobacterales; Enterobacteriaceae.